This 354-nucleotide long non-coding RNA is filed under the name Monodelphis domestica (gray short-tailed opossum). Its description in RNAcentral is "lncRNA (ENSMODG00000031711.2)". The record is from RNAcentral. Lineage: Eukaryota; Metazoa; Chordata; Mammalia; Didelphimorphia; Didelphidae.
CUUUUUUACCAGCAACAAUGCAUUUUUUUACUGAGGAGGGAUUUAGAACAUUUUCAUACAGUGAGAAGAGAGAAAAAAGAUGUCACCUGCUCCCAACACUAUGAGAAAGAGCCACUGCCCACUACCUCCCAGAGAGUAAUUGUCAACUCUCUCAGAGUAACAGCCACCCCAGAGAGUAACUGCCACUCCCAGAGACCAACCGCCACAGAAAAAAAAAAAAACAAAACUAUUAUACUGUCAACAUUUGAAACUGAUAUUGUCUCAUAUGAACUUUAAACUCCAAUUUUUUUCUCAAGCCAGCUUCUCUACUUCUUAUCUCUAAACUAAUAUAAUAAAACUUAAUUUCUAAUAUCA